RNAcentral lists this ribosomal RNA (2904 nucleotides) under Escherichia coli. RNAcentral's name for it is "23S ribosomal RNA". It matches the Rfam family "Bacterial large subunit ribosomal RNA". The record is from RNAcentral. Lineage: Bacteria; Pseudomonadati; Pseudomonadota; Gammaproteobacteria; Enterobacterales; Enterobacteriaceae.
GGUUAAGCGACUAAGCGUACACGGUGGAUGCCCUGGCAGUCAGAGGCGAUGAAGGACGUGCUAAUCUGCGAUAAGCGUCGGUAAGGUGAUAUGAACCGUUAUAACCGGCGAUUUCCGAAUGGGGAAACCCAGUGUGAUUCGUCACACUAUCAUUAACUGAAUCCAUAGGUUAAUGAGGCGAACCGGGGGAACUGAAACAUCUAAGUACCCCGAGGAAAAGAAAUCAACCGAGAUUCCCCCAGUAGCGGCGAGCGAACGGGGAGGAGUCCCAGAGCCUGAAUCAGUGUGUGUGUUAGUGGAAGCGUCUGGAAAGGCGCGCGAUACAGGGUGACAGCCCCGUACACAAAAAUGCACAUGCUGUGAGACUCGAUGAGUAGGGCGGGACACGUGGUAUCCUGUCUGAAUAUGGGGGGACCAUCCUCCAAGGCUAAAUACUCCUGACUGACCGAUAGUGAACCAGUACCGUGAGGGAAAGGCGAAAAGAACCCCGGCGAGGGGAGUGAAAAAGAACCUGAAACCGUGUACGUACAAGCAGUGGGAGCCUCUUAAUGGGGUGACUGCGUACCUUUUGUAUAAUGGGUCAGCGACUUAUAUUCUGUAGCAAGGUUAACCGAAUAGGGGAGCCGAAGGGAAACCGAGUCUUAACUGGGCGUUAAGUUGCAGGGUAUAGACCCGAAACCCGGUGAUCUAGCCAUGGGCAGGUUGAAGGUUGGGUAACACUAACUGGAGGACCGAACCGACUAAUGUUGAAAAAUUAGCGGAUGACUUGUGGCUGGGGGUGAAAGGCCAAUCAAACCGGGAGAUAGCUGGUUCUCCCCGAAAGCUAUUUAGGUAGCGCCUCGUGAAUUCAUCUCCGGGGGUAGAGCACUGUUUCGGCAAGGGGGUCAUCCCGACUUACCAACCCGAUGCAAACUGCGAAUACCGGAGAAUGUUAUCACGGGAGACACACGGCGGGUGCUAACGUCCGUCGUGAAGAGGGAAACAACCCAGACCGCCAGCUAAGGUCCCAAAGUCAUGGUUAAGUGGGAAACGAUGUGGGAAGGCCCAGACAGCCAGGAUGUUGGCUUAGAAGCAGCCAUCAUUUAAAGAAAGCGUAAUAGCUCACUGGUCGAGUCGGCCUGCGCGGAAGAUGUAACGGGGCUAAACCAUGCACCGAAGCUGCGGCAGCGACACUAUGUGUUGUUGGGUAGGGGAGCGUUCUGUAAGCCUGCGAAGGUGUACUGUGAGGUAUGCUGGAGGUAUCAGAAGUGCGAAUGCUGACAUAAGUAACGAUAAAGCGGGUGAAAAGCCCGCUCGCCGGAAGACCAAGGGUUCCUGUCCAACGUUAAUCGGGGCAGGGUGAGUCGACCCCUAAGGCGAGGCCGAAAGGCGUAGUCGAUGGGAAACAGGUUAAUAUUCCUGUACUUGGUGUUACUGCGAAGGGGGGACGGAGAAGGCUAUGUUGGCCGGGCGACGGUUGUCCCGGUUUAAGCGUGUAGGCUGGUUUUCCAGGCAAAUCCGGAAAAUCAAGGCUGAGGCGUGAUGACGAGGCACUACGGUGCUGAAGCAACAAAUGCCCUGCUUCCAGGAAAAGCCUCUAAGCAUCAGGUAACAUCAAAUCGUACCCCAAACCGACACAGGUGGUCAGGUAGAGAAUACCAAGGCGCUUGAGAGAACUCGGGUGAAGGAACUAGGCAAAAUGGUGCCGUAACUUCGGGAGAAGGCACGCUGAUAUGUAGGUGAAGUCCCUCGCGGAUGGAGCUGAAAUCAGUCGAAGAUACCAGCUGGCUGCAACUGUUUAUUAAAAACACAGCACUGUGCAAACACGAAAGUGGACGUAUACGGUGUGACGCCUGCCCGGUGCCGGAAGGUUAAUUGAUGGGGUUAGCGCAAGCGAAGCUCUUGAUCGAAGCCCCGGUAAACGGCGGCCGUAACUAUAACGGUCCUAAGGUAGCGAAAUUCCUUGUCGGGUAAGUUCCGACCUGCACGAAUGGCGUAAUGAUGGCCAGGCUGUCUCCACCCGAGACUCAGUGAAAUUGAACUCGCUGUGAAGAUGCAGUGUACCCGCGGCAAGACGGAAAGACCCCGUGAACCUUUACUAUAGCUUGACACUGAACAUUGAGCCUUGAUGUGUAGGAUAGGUGGGAGGCUUUGAAGUGUGGACGCCAGUCUGCAUGGAGCCGACCUUGAAAUACCACCCUUUAAUGUUUGAUGUUCUAACGUUGGCCCCUGAUCGGGGUUGCGGACAGUGUCUGGUGGGUAGUUUGACUGGGGCGGUCUCCUCCUAAAGAGUAACGGAGGAGCACGAAGGUUGGCUAAUCCUGGUCGGACAUCAGGAGGUUAGUGCAAUGGCAUAAGCCAGCUUGACUGCGAGCGUGACGGCGCGAGCAGGUGCGAAAGCAGGUCAUAGUGAUCCGGUGGUUCUGAAUGGAAGGGCCAUCGCUCAACGGAUAAAAGGUACUCCGGGGAUAACAGGCUGAUACCGCCCAAGAGUUCAUAUCGACGGCGGUGUUUGGCACCUCGAUGUCGGCUCAUCACAUCCUGGGGCUGAAGUAGGUCCCAAGGGUAUGGCUGUUCGCCAUUUAAAGUGGUACGCGAGCUGGGUUUAGAACGUCGUGAGACAGUUCGGUCCCUAUCUGCCGUGGGCGCUGGAGAACUGAGGGGGGCUGCUCCUAGUACGAGAGGACCGGAGUGGACGCAUCACUGGUGUUCGGGUUGUCAUGCCAAUGGCACUGCCCGGUAGCUAAAUGCGGAAGAGAUAAGUGCUGAAAGCAUCUAAGCACGAAACUUGCCCCGAGAUGAGUUCUCCCUGACUCCCUGAGAGUCCUGAAGGAACGUUGAAGACGACGACGUUGAUAGGCCGGGUGUGUAAGCGCAGCGAUGCGUUGAGCUAACCGGUACUAAUGAACCGUGAGGCUUAACCUU